CUGGGCCCGUUGGUCAAGCGGUUAAGACACCGCCCUUUCACGGCGGUAACACGGGUUCGAAUCCCGUACGGG
RNAcentral lists this transfer RNA (72 nucleotides) under Bacillus subtilis subsp. subtilis 6051-HGW. Its description in RNAcentral is "tRNA-Glu". It matches the Rfam family "tRNA". Rfam says of the family: Transfer RNA (tRNA) molecules are approximately 80 nucleotides in length. Their secondary structure includes four short double-helical elements and three loops (D, anti-codon, and T loops). Further hydrogen bonds mediate the characteristic L-shaped molecular structure. tRNAs have two regions of fundamental functional importance: the anti-codon, which is responsible for specific mRNA codon recognition, and the 3' end, to which the tRNAs corresponding amino acid is attached (by aminoacyl-tRNA synthetases). tRNAs cope with the degeneracy of the genetic code in two manners: having more than one tRNA (with a specific anti-codon) for a particular amino acid; and 'wobble' base-pairing, i.e. permitting non-standard base-pairing at the 3rd anti-codon position. Lineage: Bacteria; Bacillati; Bacillota; Bacilli; Caryophanales; Bacillaceae. The record is from RNAcentral.